UGACUCCGCCACAAAGGAUCCUCUUUCCCCCGGAGAAGAUUUGCAUGGUCUGGCAGCAAAGACAGAGUGCUGGAGCAGGACUCCGCAAUGUGGGCAACACAUGCUUCCUUAAUGCUGUCCUGCAAUGCCUGACAUACACCCCGCCGCUGGCCAACUAUCUGCUCUCCCGGGAGCACAGCCAGGCCUGUCACCAACAAGGCUUCUGCAUGAUGUGCAUCAUGGAAGCGCAUGUUAACAAGGUCCUGCAUUCCUCAGUCAGUGCCAUCCUGCCUUUGGCUGUUCUCAGGGGUUUCAGACUCAUAGGAGAACAUUUUCAGCUUGGCAGGGAGGAAGAUGCCCAUGACUUCUUAUGCUGUACUGUCAAUGCCAUGCAGAGAGCUUGUCUGAGUGCAAGCAACGA
Pseudopipra pipra is the source of this 400-nucleotide long non-coding RNA. RefSeq lists it as uncharacterized. The transcript has 3 exons. The record is from RefSeq and is a predicted model, not a curated record. Lineage: Eukaryota; Metazoa; Chordata; Aves; Passeriformes; Pipridae.